GGGCGAGUGGCGGAACUGGUAGACGCGCAGCCUUGAGGGGGCUGUGGGCUUCGGCUCGUGGAGGUUCGAGUCCUCUCUCGCCCACCA
Molecule: transfer RNA, 87 nt
Filed under: Patescibacteria group bacterium
Lineage: Bacteria
Also listed under: 1 other name
Description: tRNA-Leu
Rfam family: tRNA
About the family: Transfer RNA (tRNA) molecules are approximately 80 nucleotides in length. Their secondary structure includes four short double-helical elements and three loops (D, anti-codon, and T loops).
Source: RNAcentral